CCCUUAGAUGUUCUGGGCCGCACGCGUGCUACACUGAGUGGAUCAGCGGGUCAGGUUGCGCGAAAGUGUUUCCUAAUCUUGAAAUCCGCUCGUGAUGGGGAUUGACGGUUGCAAUUUUCCGUCAUGAACGAGGAAUACCUUGUAAGCGCGGGUCAUCAUCCCGCGCUGAAUACGUCCCUGCCCUUUGUACACACCGCCCGUCGCUCCUACCGAUUGAGUGGUCCGGUGAGGCUUUGGGAUCUGAGCGGAAAGAGCGUUUCGCUGUUUCUGCUCGGAAAACUCAGUCGAACCUUAUCAUUUAUAGGAAGGAGAAGUCGUAACA
This 322-nucleotide ribosomal RNA is filed under the name uncultured eukaryote. RNAcentral's name for it is "partial 18S ribosomal RNA". It matches the Rfam family "Eukaryotic small subunit ribosomal RNA", at positions 1470 to 1796 of the family's 1831-position model. The record is from RNAcentral.